UGAGCUUUACUAUUAACUUGUAUUGCCAGAGCAAUAAAGGGAACCCCAAAGGUUCCCGGGAUCCAACGGAUCCCUUAGGUACCCUGUCCUUUGCUUCAUAAUAAAAUUGUGAAGACUAAGUGGAAAAAGAUAAAACAAGGGAUUAAAAAAAACGGGUCUCUGGGCCCCGGCUCUCAAAAGGCCCCUUGGCUUCUUGUCCCAAUUUAUAUGAAAAACCACUCUUUUUAUUAAGAUUACUGUCUAAAACCGUACAAGUAAGAUAGUUUGGUUGGGGCGACCGCCUUCGAAAAAGUAUCGAAGGCGCACAUAAGAUUAGUCCGGAGGGGGGUCCUACGAAUCCCCCUCCCGGGGGCAAUGCCCCAAAAAAGAUUAGUUUGACUGAAAGGGCUACAACCCGAACAGGCGCCGGGGGAUCCGGGGGCGCGCCAUGGGCGCGCCC
This 439-nucleotide ribosomal RNA is filed under the name Placozoa sp. ME-2010. RNAcentral's name for it is "partial 16S ribosomal RNA". The stretch from base 88 to 439 matches the Rfam family "Bacterial large subunit ribosomal RNA", at positions 2098 to 2444 of the family's 2925-position model. Lineage: Eukaryota; Metazoa; Placozoa. The record is from RNAcentral.